Non-coding RNA from Acanthosepion pharaonis, 113 nucleotides. Lineage: Eukaryota; Metazoa; Mollusca; Cephalopoda; Sepiida; Sepiidae. The record is from the annotation of a GenBank genome assembly.
UAUGGUCAUAUCAUGUUGAAACAUUGGUUCUCAUAUGAUCACUGAAGUUAAGCAAUAUCAAACCUUGUCAGUACCUAGAUGGAUGACCGUUUGGGAAUGCUAAGUGCUGUAAG